This is a long non-coding RNA of Thunnus maccoyii (southern bluefin tuna), 1565 nucleotides long. RefSeq lists it as uncharacterized. The transcript is spliced from 3 exons. The record is from RefSeq and is a predicted model, not a curated record. Lineage: Eukaryota; Metazoa; Chordata; Actinopteri; Scombriformes; Scombridae.
GUACACCUCUUGUAAUAGGAACGAGGAACAUGGUGUUGGCUUCCCAUAUGACCUAGUUUUUCUGUACUUGGCAAAGGAGGAGCUCCUGCACCAUACUCCUUCCCAUUCCCUUGAAUGAGAAAAUGUGUUCAGACUUUUGACUGCUUGUCUCUGUGCCUGUGGCCUGGAUCUGAGGGCUGCUCUGCUGCCUUGUCUCCCCACACAAAAGAGCACCUGGCCAGGCACGUAAUCCUCUCAGACCCUAGAGCCUGGAGCUCUGGGUCUCCACCUGGAGACUGCAGCUAACCGCCAACAACUUCUAGCAUCUGGACAGACGUCACUAAGUGCUAAUGACACACACAAUAACUGGAAAGAUUUCAAUUGUAUAGCUAUCCAGGGGUCUAGGCAAUGGUGUUAUUUUUGAAUAGUGCAUUAAUAUAUUCUGCACACAUUUUCGGUGAUGUUCAGGGAUUUUUCUGGGGCGUUAACGAUGAGGCAGAGAAGAGAAGGUUAGAAAGUGAAUAAGUGGUGGGGGGUGUUCAAAUCCUUCCAAGAAUCUCCCCGAAAGCUACAGAAUCUGUGCUGCUGUUUAAUACACAAAUCAGUUAUACUGUGAGCGUACACACACACGAAGACACACACACAAAAACAACUACAGUCUAAAAAGUCUUUCAGACCCCCCUGAUGCCUCUAGCCCAGUUUUUCUUGUUUUCCAGUUUCUUGUGUGCCGGCACUACUUUCUGUAAGAGCUGAGAACGGAAACAAGCCUCCAGAGAACCGCUAAGGCACUGAAUUCCUAUUAACAUCACACACAAAUUAACUAUUACGCAACCAGAGGUUACAUCGUAGUUUCCAAUGGUAAUACAUUUCUGAUAACAGCGAUGUGCUAUGCAAUUAACAUAACACUAUAAAGUACAGUAUGGCCCUGAUCAUACUUCCUCUUUAUGCUAUUAUUCCACUCCCUAAUAAUAAAGUAAUUAAACUUAUAUGUUAGAGAUGAUGUUAGAGCUGUGAUUUUAGUGUUCCAAGCCAAUGCUACAGUAACACAAGAUACAUAAAAAAAGAUUUUGUAAAUCAUGUUCUUAUAUACUAGCUUCUACUGUAGAAUUACACCAUUUCUAUGGUUGAGAAAUGUCAUUGUACUGAUGGAACCACUUUGAAACUUGAGUUUGAAAUGCAAAGCUAAGCAAAAAAACAAGACUGUAGAGAUUUGGAGGUGAAACAGCUGAAUAUUAUGAUGCACAAUCUGAAGAGCAAAAUAAUUCAGAUAUAGGUCUGUUUGGUUCACUUGAUCCAGACCAAAGAAAAAAUAAGUUCCAUUGUUGUCUUUUACUUCUGAAACUAACCAAGGAAUGUGAAUGUGGAAACAUUUGGACUGACAAAUAACUAAUUCAUUGGGCAGUUUUAGUGAUCUCAUCCUACAUCAUCAGCUGCAGCUCCAUCAAUACAUUCAAAACCAAAUUAAAAAAUCUACUAAAAACCACUCGGCUCUGUACGCACUGAAUCUAAAUUUCAUCUAUGGUCUUUUCAUUAACGCAAAUCUUUCCUUUAAUUUGACAAGUUUACAUUAUUAAUUGCUAGUUGAC